Molecule: ribosomal RNA, 316 nt
Filed under: uncultured microorganism
Description: bacterial SSU rRNA
Rfam family: Archaeal small subunit ribosomal RNA
Source: RNAcentral
GUGCAGCAGUCGCGAAACUUUACAAUGCGGGAAACCGCGAUAAGGGGACACCGAGUGCCAGCAUACUAUGUUGGCUGUCCACAUGUGUAAAUAGCAUGUGUUAGCAAGGGCCGGGCAAGACCGGUGCCAGCCGCCGCGGUAACACCGGCGGCCCGAGUGGUAAUCACUAUUAUUGGGUCUAAAGGGGUCCGUAGCCGGUUUGGUUAGUCUUCCGGGGAAAUCUGAUAGCUCAACUAUUAGGCUUCCGGGUGAUACUGUCCGACUUGGGACCGGGAGAGGCAAGAGGUACUACAGGGGUAGGAGUGAAAUCUUGUAA